UCUCCUCUCGUUAUUCUUUCUUCUUUUGUUCUCUUUUCUUCUCCGGAGAUUCUGAGAAUCGAUUUAAGGGAAUCGAUCGAUGAUGUUGUUAAUAUAUAAUCAAAGAAGGUUUAGUGGUGGUGUUCAUGUUGGUGGAUCAUGAGAAGAAGAGGAGAUGACGAUCUGUAGAGAAACCAGAUAGUUCAAGCCAUAGAAUAAUUGAUUAAUUGAAGGAGGAUUUGAUUAGUUGGCGAUGAAGAACAAAAGGGGUUAGUGUUUAAGUGAAGUUCUGAAGAUGAUUCAGUGAUGAAUCGGUAAGUUAGGGUUUCAUGAGGAGAGCUCUGAGAAAAUUUAGAAAGUGAAUAUGAUGCUAUAGAUAGAUGAUUAGAGAAUGGGUUUUGUAUUUUGAGAACAAACAAGAAGAAUUGGGUAUUCAAUUUGAGAAUUGGUUACAGAGAAGAAGUUAAUUCGAGAUUGAGGUUUUCGGGUUUUCUGAGUUAAGGUAUAAUUCGAAUUAGGUGUUGUUUAAGAAAGAUUGGAGAUGGGUUUUGUUGAUUUGAAGAGUUAGGUCAUUGUUUGGGUUCGAAUUAGAGAAAUCUUGUGUUUGGGAAUGGAAUUAGGUCUUGAUGCAGUUGAAUUAGAGAUUAAGUUGGGUUUAUCUGUUGUAUUCCAGUAAAGGUGAUAAGGAUUUAAUGGAUGUUGUUUGAAGAUGAGGUGUUGAAACAGAUCAAGGCAAAGAAGGAAGGAAUUCAAUUGUUUGAGCAACACAGAUUGGAGGUAAUUAUUAUUCUAAGUUCAUUUUGUUAAGAUGUUCGUUUUGGUUGUUGAAUGUUUGAUGUUAAUGGAGAUAAGAUUGAAAUGAAUGUAUAUGAACCUGUGUUGGAAUUGGAGAUGUAGAUUAGGUCUGCAAUGAGUUACAGUUGAAGAUUAGAGGUUUGAGAUGUAUAAGUUGGUGCUCUGUAUGGAAUUGAAUGUAAGUAAGUUAUGAUCUUCUUAUGGUGUUGGUGGUUGGUGGUCUUAGUUGAAGUUGUAACUAAAGAACUGAAGGGGAAGUUGUUAUGGUUGUGAAUGAGUUAAAAGGAAAAUGAACGUAAGAGUGGUGUAAUGGAAGUAUUGAAGUAUAGUGGUAAAGUUAUUGUUGAGACCGUGAGGUGGUGAUGUUGUAAGGAAUAUGAGUGGCUGGAUAUGGUGGUCUUGUCUGUGUGGUUGAAUGACAAAACUAGAUUUAGUGCUAGUUACGAAACUGUGGUUGAAUCAGUUGGGUGCGUAUGAUAUUGAGUGAUUUUGCUAUUGAGGGUGAAAUGAAUAUGUAGUUGAGGUUUUAGAUAGAAUCUGGUGGAACUGAACUCAAUGGUUGAUGUUUAGAGGAAUAAGUGGUGAUGUUGUUGAAGUUGCAAGGAAUAUGAGUGGAUGGAUAUGGUGGUCUUGUCUGUGUGGUUGAAUGACAGAACUAGAUUUAGUGGUAGUUACAAAACUGUGGUUGAAUCAGUUGGGUGCGUAUGAUAUUGAGUGAUGUUGCUAUUGAGGGUGAAAUGAAUAUGUGGUUGAGGUUUUAGCUAGAAUCUGGUGGAACUGAACUCAGUGGUUGAUGUUUAGAGGAAUAGGUUAGGUCGAAUCUUUCAGUGAAAGCUUGGAACUGCAAUUGCAGUUUCAGAGACAGAUCAGAGUUGCGCAGCGAAAGCUUCAAGGGUUGAUUUCGUUAGUUGGUUAACUUCUGUUAUAUUUAUUAUAUUGUAUAUUCUAUUUGUAAACCAAAUGACUAUUGUAUAUGUAUCAUUUGAGAGGAGUCCUUGUAUAUAUAUUUCUGAGCGAGGUUAGUUUUGGGUUAAGUUUUUGUAGCAGAUUUCUUAAUUGAAAGUUUAAGUAUUUGUUUUAGAA
Molecule: long non-coding RNA, 1857 nt
Organism: Papaver somniferum (opium poppy)
Lineage: Eukaryota; Viridiplantae; Streptophyta; Magnoliopsida; Ranunculales; Papaveraceae
Exons: 2
Source: RefSeq, a predicted model, not a curated record